RNAcentral lists this ribosomal RNA (429 nucleotides) under Chloroflexota bacterium. RNAcentral describes it as "Chloroflexi bacterium partial 16S ribosomal RNA". It matches the Rfam family "Bacterial small subunit ribosomal RNA", at positions 355 to 776 of the family's 1533-position model. Lineage: Bacteria; Bacillati; Chloroflexota. The record is from RNAcentral.
UGGGGAAUAUUGCACAAUGGGCGCAAGCCUGAUGCAGCCAUGCCGCGUGUAUGAAGAAGGCCUUCGGGUUGUAAAGUACUUUCAGUCGGGAGGAAGGUGGUAAGGUUAAUAACCUUGGCAAUUGACGUUACCGACAGAAGAAGCACCGGCUAACUCCGUGCCAGCAGCCGCGGUAAUACGGAGGGUGCAAGCGUUAAUCGGAAUUACUGGGCGUAAAGCGCACGCAGGCGGUUGAUUGAGUCAGAUGUGAAAUCCCCGGGCUUAACCUGGGAACUGCAUUCGAAACUGGCAGGCUAGAGUCUUGUAGAGGGGGGUAGAAUUCCAGGUGUAGCGGUGAAAUGCGUAGAGAUCUGGAGGAAUACCGGUGGCGAAGGCGGCCCCCUGGACAAAGACUGACGCUCAGGUGCGAAAGCGUGGGGAGCAAACAGG